This 271-nucleotide unclassified non-coding RNA is filed under the name Hevea brasiliensis (rubber tree). The record is from RNAcentral. Lineage: Eukaryota; Viridiplantae; Streptophyta; Magnoliopsida; Malpighiales; Euphorbiaceae.
GUUUUGGUUAACUCAGUUGAUGUUCCGGCGAGAAAUUUUGAUCAGGAUAAAUCCGUUCGUUGAUUCUCUAUGGAUGCAGAUAGAUUAAAUUCUCCACACACUUCUGCAAUACUCAUUGAUGUUCUUGGUCAUCAACUUCAGUUUUGCCAGGAUCCUAAUUCGAAGCAUUUAGGCACUACUGUUUGGGAUGCAUCUAUGGUUUUAGUAAAAUUUCUGGAAAGAAAUUGUCGGAAGGGGAGGUUUUCUCCAUCUAAAUUGAGAGGAAAGCGUG